AUUGAACGCUGGCGGCAGGCUUAACACAUGCAAGUCGAGCGGAGUGAUGGUGCUUGCACUAUCACUUAGCGGCGGACGGGUGAGUAAUGCUUAGGAAUCUGCCUAUUAGUGGGGGACAACAUCUCGAAAGGGAUGCUAAUACCGCAUACGUCCUACGGGAGAAAGCAGGGGAUCACUUGUGACCUUGCGCUAAUAGAUGAGCCUAAGUCGGAUUAGCUAGUUGGUGGGGUAAAGGCCUACCAAGGCGACGAUCUGUAGCGGGUCUGAGAGGAUGAUCCGCCACACUGGGACUGAGACACGGCCCAGACUCCUACGGGAGGCAGCAGUGGGGAAUAUUGGACAAUGGGGGGAAACCCUGAUCCAGCCAUGCCGCGUGUGUGAAGAGGGCCUUAUGGUUGUAAAGCACUUUAAGCGAGGAGGAGGCUCUUUUGGUUAAUACCCAAGAUGAGUGGACGUUACUCGCAGAAUAAGCACCGGCUAACUCUGUGCCAGCCGCCGCAGUAA
Molecule: ribosomal RNA, 504 nt
Filed under: uncultured bacterium
Lineage: Bacteria
Description: partial 16S ribosomal RNA
Rfam family: Bacterial small subunit ribosomal RNA
Source: RNAcentral